Molecule: non-coding RNA, 109 nt
Organism: Acanthosepion pharaonis
Lineage: Eukaryota; Metazoa; Mollusca; Cephalopoda; Sepiida; Sepiidae
Source: the annotation of a GenBank genome assembly
UUACGGCCAUAUCACGGUGAAACAUCAGUUCCCGUACGAUCACCGAAGUUAAGCUAUGUCGUGCCUGGUCAGUACCUAGAUACGUAACCGCUUGGAAAUACCGGGUACU